This 274-nucleotide ribosomal RNA is filed under the name uncultured bacterium. RNAcentral's name for it is "partial 16S ribosomal RNA". It matches the Rfam family "Bacterial small subunit ribosomal RNA", at positions 523 to 796 of the family's 1533-position model. The record is from RNAcentral.
AUACGGAGGGUGCGAGCGUUAAUCGGAAUUACUGGGCGUAAAGGGUGCGUAGGCGGCUUGAUAAGUCGGAUGUGAAAGCCCCGGGCUUAACCUGGGAAUUGCAUUCGAUACUGUCAGGCUAGAGUAUGUCAGAGGUUGGCGGAAUUCCUGGUGUAGCGGUGAAAUGCGUAGAUAUCAGGAGGAACACCAGUGGCGAAGGCGGCUAACUGGGGCAAUACUGACACUGAGGCACGAAAGCGUGGGGAGCAAACAGGAUUAGAAACCCUAGUAGUCC